CCUACGGGAGGCAGCAGUGAGGAAUAUUGGUCAAUGGCCGGAAGGCUGAACCAGCCAUGCCGCGUGAAGGUCAGUGCCCUAUGGGCGUUAAACUUCUUUUGUGCGGGAGCAAUAAUGGUCACGUGUGGCCAGACGAGAGUACCGUACGAAUAAGCAUCGGCUAACUCCGUGCCAGCAGCCGCGGUAAUACGGGGGAUGCAAGCGUUAUCCGGAUUUAUUGGGUUUAAAGGGUGCGUAGGCGGUGAGGUAAGUCAGCGGGGAAAUGCCCCCGCUCAACGGGGUGAAGUGCCAUUGAUACUGCCUUGCUGGAAUGCGGAUGCCGUGGGAGGAAUGUGUGGUGUAGCGGUGAAAUGCAUAGAUAUCACACAGAACACUGAUUGCGAAGGCAUCUCACGAAUCCGCGAUUGACGCUGAUGCACGAAAGCGUGGGUAUCAAACAGGAUUAGAUACCCUUGUAGUC
RNAcentral lists this ribosomal RNA (460 nucleotides) under uncultured bacterium. RNAcentral's name for it is "partial 16S ribosomal RNA". It matches the Rfam family "Bacterial small subunit ribosomal RNA", at positions 338 to 795 of the family's 1533-position model. The record is from RNAcentral.